Molecule: ribosomal RNA, 301 nt
Filed under: uncultured bacterium
Lineage: Bacteria
Description: partial 16S ribosomal RNA
Rfam family: Bacterial small subunit ribosomal RNA
Source: RNAcentral
CAGUCGCCGCGGGAAUACAGAGGGUGCGAGCGUUAAUCGGAUUUACUGGGCGUAAAGCGUGCGUAGGCGGCUUCUUAAGUCGGAUGUGAAAUCCCUGAGCUUAACUUAGGAAUUGCAUUCGAUACUGGGAAGCUAGAGUAUGGGAGAGGAUGGUAGAAUUCCAGGUGUAGCGGUGAAAUGCGUAGAGAUCUGGAGGAAUACCGAUGGCGAAGGCAGCCAUCUGGCCUAAUACUUACGCUGAGGUACGAAAGCAUGGGGAGCAAACAGGAUUAGAUACCCCCGUAGUCCCUGUCUCUUAUAC